AACGCUAGCUACAGGCUUAACACAUGCAAGUCGAGGGGCAGCACAGUGUAGCAAUACACGGGUGGCGACCGGCGCACGGGUGCGUAACGCGUAUCCAACCUUCCCGUUACUCUUGGAUAGCCUUCCGAAAGGGAGAUUAAUACAAGAUGGUAUUCAAAUUCCGCAUGUUAUUUGAAUUAAAGAUUUAUCGGUAACGGAUGGGGAUGCGUGACAUUAGAUAGUAGGCGGGGUAACGGCCCACCUAGUCUACGAUGUCUAGGGGUUCUGAGAGGAAGGUCCCCCACACUGGAACUGAGACACGGUCCAGACUCCUACGGGAGGCAGCAGUGAGGAAUAUUGGUCAAUGGUCGGAAGACUGAACCAGCCAAGUAGCGUGAAGGAUGAAGGUUCUAUGGAUUGUAAACUUCUUUUAUACGGGAAUAAAACCUCCCACGUGUGGGAGCUUGUAUGUACCGUAUGAAUAAGCAUCGGCUAACUCCGUGCCAGCAGCCGCGGUAAUACGGAGGAUGCGAGCGUUAUCCGGAUUUAUUGGGUUUAAAGGGAGCGUAGGUGGUCUGUUAAGCCAGCUGUGAAAUACUGUAGCUCAACUACAGCCGUGCAGUUGGAACUGGCAGACUUGAGUACACUAGAGGAAGGUGGAAUUCGUGGUGUAGCGGUGAAAUGUUUAGAUAUCACGAAGAACUCCGAUUGCGAAGGCAGCCUUCUGGAGUGCAACUGACACUGAGGCUCGAAAGUGUGGGUAUCGAACAGGAUUAGAUACCCUGGUAGUCCACACAGUAAACGAUGGAUACUCGCUGCCGGCGAUACAAUGUCGGUGGCUUAGCGAAAGCGUUAAGUAUUCCACCUGGGGAGUACGCCGGCAACGGUGAAACUCAAAGGAAUUGACGGGGGCCCGCACAAGCGGAGGAACAUGUGGUUUAAUUCGAUGAUACGCGAGGAACCUUACCCGGGCUUAAAUUGCAGAGGACAGGCUCAGAGAUGGGCUCUUCUUCGGACCUCUGUGAAGGUGCUGCAUGGUUGUCGUCAGCUCGUGCCGUGAGGUGUCGGCUUAAGUGC
Molecule: ribosomal RNA, 1056 nt
Filed under: uncultured Bacteroidales bacterium
Lineage: Bacteria; Pseudomonadati; Bacteroidota; Bacteroidia; Bacteroidales
Description: bacterial SSU rRNA
Rfam family: Bacterial small subunit ribosomal RNA
Source: RNAcentral